CCUGACUGCUAUCGGAUUGAUACUAAGCCAUGCGAGUCAUUGUAGCAAUACAAGGCAGACGGCUCAGUAACGCGUAGUCAAUCUACCCUAUGGACGGGAAUAACCUCGGGAAACUGAGAAUAAUGCCCGAUAGAACAUUAUACCUGGAACGGUUUAUGUUUCAAAUGAUUUAUCGCCGUAGGAUGGGACUGCGGCCUAUCAGUUUGUUGGUGAGGUAAUGGCCCACCAAGACUAUUACAGGUACGGGCUCUGAGAGGAGUAGCCCGGAGAUGGGUACUGAGACACGGACCCAGGCCCUAUGGGGCGCAGCAGGCGAGAAAACUUUGCAGUGUGCGAAAGCACGACAAGGUUAAUCCGAGUGGUUUCUGCUAAAGAAACCUUUUGCUAGUCCUAGAAACACUAGUGAAUAAGGGGUGGGCAAGUUCUGGUGU
RNAcentral lists this ribosomal RNA (431 nucleotides) under uncultured archaeon. RNAcentral's name for it is "bacterial SSU rRNA". It matches the Rfam family "Archaeal small subunit ribosomal RNA", at positions 24 to 458 of the family's 1478-position model. The record is from RNAcentral.